RNAcentral lists this ribosomal RNA (620 nucleotides) under uncultured bacterium. RNAcentral's name for it is "bacterial SSU rRNA". The stretch from base 1 to 539 matches the Rfam family "Bacterial small subunit ribosomal RNA", at positions 338 to 873 of the family's 1533-position model. The record is from RNAcentral.
CCUACGGGAGGCAGCAGUGGGGAAUUUUGGACAAUGGGCGCAAGCCUGAUCCAGCAAUGCCGCGUGAGUGAAGAAGGCCUUCGGGUUGUAAAGCUCUUUUGUCAGGGAAGAAACGGUCUACUCUAAUACAGUGGGCUAAUGACGGUACCUGAAGAAUAAGCACCGGCUAACUACGUGCCAGCAGCCGCGGUAAUACGUAGGGUGCAAGCGUUAAUCGGAAUUACUGGGCGUAAAGCGUGCGCAGGCGGUUAUAUAAGUCAGAUGUGAAAUCCCCGGGCUCAACCUGGGAACUGCAUUUGAGACUGUAUGGCUAGAGUGUGUCAGAGGGGGGUAGAAUUCCACGUGUAGCAGUGAAAUGCGUAGAUAUGUGGAGGAAUACCGAUGGCGAAGGCAGCCCCCUGGGAUAACACUGACGCUCAUGCACGAAAGCGUGGGGAGCAAACAGGAUUAGAUACCCUGGUAGUCCACGCCCUAAACGAUGUCUACUAGUUGUCGGGAACUUAAUUGUCUUGUACGACAGCACGACGNGAGUAGACGCCGUCGGAGGUACGGUCGCGAGAGUAAACGUUAAAGUAAAGUUAGAGCGUGAGAGNGACGACGGACGACGACGAGGGAGGAGG